Molecule: unclassified non-coding RNA, 3557 nt
Filed under: Neodiprion lecontei (redheaded pine sawfly)
Lineage: Eukaryota; Metazoa; Arthropoda; Insecta; Hymenoptera; Diprionidae
Description: xanthine dehydrogenase/oxidase, transcript variant X9
Source: RNAcentral
UGCUAGGCGCAUCACGCGCCCAGCAGCAAUACAUACGGUUGUCAUGUUUGCUAGCAGGACGUGUAUCCCUGCGCUUGUUUCUUCGAGUCUUCUCAUUUUUUCGUUAAUUCUCGAGUAACAAUCAUAUCAACGAGAUCCAAAAAUGGGUGGACUAUCAAGCUGUGAUAGCGAAUUUCAAGAUACAGUGGCCUUCACCAUAAAUGGCGUGCCGUAUACAGUUGACGAAAGUACACCAUCUGGCACAUCAUUGAACGUAUACCUUCGCGAGCAUGCAAACCUCCGGGGCACUAAAGCUAUGUGCCUCGAGGGUGGGUGCGGAGUAUGCAUUGUGGCCGUGAAUAUUGGCGGCAAUACAAUGGCAGUCAACUCCUGUCUGGUUCCCAUUCUAAUCUGUCAUGGGUGGGAAAUUACGACGAUAGAAGGCGUAGGCAACCGCGGCUCGGGGUACCACCCGGUGCAAGCAAGAUUGGCCCAAUUUAAUGGUUCGCAAUGUGGUUAUUGCUCACCUGGGAUGGUUAUGAAUAUGUACAGCUUGUCGCGGGAAAAAAAACAGCCGACAAUGAAGGAUGUUGAAAACUCGUUUGGAGGUAACAUAUGUAGGUGCACUGGGUACAGACCGAUUCUAGAUGCUUUUAAGUCACUCGCGUCAGACGCUAAUUUGGAAUUAACACAGAAGGUUCGAGACAUUGAGGAGUUGUGUGACAUAAAGGUUUGUUCAAAAACCGAGCAAAGCUGCAGCGGUUCGUGCGCAACGAUACAAAAGAGCAAAGGCAUCGGGUUUCGGCACAUAAUAUUUGACAAUGCUGAGUUCUACAAAGUUCCUACCGUAGACGGGUUGUUUUCGAUUUUUGAGAAAUAUCCUGACGCAAGCUACGUUCUUCACGGUGGCAAUACAGCUCAUGGAGUAUACAGGAGUAAGAAGUCUCAGCUUUACAUCGAUGUGAAUGAUAUACCUGAUUUGCACCGGGUCGAGUUAACCAAGAUCGGUUUGGCAUUUGGCGCUAACUUAACACUGACGAAAGCCAUGCAGAGUUUUAAGAAAUAUUCAACCUACAAGGGAUUCAAAUAUUUGAAUCUGUUAGCGGAUCAUAUCGAUCUGAUCGCUAGUGUCCCCGUACGCAACAUAGGCACUUUGGCUGGUAACUUGAUGAUAAAACAUCAGCACCAUGAAUUCCCAUCCGAUAUUUUUCUGAUCCUCGAAACCGUUGGUGUUCAACUCCACAUCCUUGAAAAUCCUACAGACAAGCUGAGUGUGAAUCUUAUACAGUUUCUUGAAAUGGAUAUGAGACAUAAACUUAUAUACAGCAUUAUUUUACCGCCCCUCGAAAGCGAGUACGAAUUCAGAUCCUUCAAGAUAAUGCCUAGAGCGCAGAACGCGCAUGCGCACGUUAACGCUGGAUUUCUUUUCAAACUUGACGAAGGUGGGAAGGUUUUAGAAAUGCCAAACAUUAUCAUCGGUGGAAUCAGAAAUGAUUUUCUUCACGCGCGCAAAACAGAAGAAUAUUUGAAGGGUAAAAACUUGUUGACCAACGAUGUCUUCCAGAGGGCGAUCCAAGUUUUGCACAACGAACUCAACCCAGAUCACAUACUUCCCGAUUAUUCUUCCGAAUUUCGGAAAAUAUUGGCUGAAGGUUUAUUCUACAAAAUAAUCGUUCCCGGGUUUCAGUAUGUUUUAAGCAUAAACCCGAACAAUAUUGACCCAAGACUGCGAAGCGGGGGAAUGAUUUUAGAACGAGGGUUAUCAACGGGCAAGCAGGAUUUUGAUACGGAUAGAAAUAUAUGGCCCCUGAAUAAGCCACUGCCGAAACUUGAGGCCAUAUACCAAACAUCAGGCGAGGCUCACUAUAUUAACGACAUCAAGACAAUGCCAGACGAAGUACAUUGUGCCUUUGUACUGACUGACGUUGCGAAUGGGUACAUCGAGCACGUCGACACAACGGAGGUUAUGAAAAUGAAAGGUGUUAUUGCCUUUUAUGACGUAUCGGAUGUGCCGGGAAAAAACGUAUUCAUACCAAAAGAAGCAGAGAUAUUUUAUCUGCCCUUCAAUGAACCCUUGUUUGCGGAUAAGGAAGUUCUGUACGCCGGUCAACCGCUUGGGAUGAUAGUUGCAUCGAGUAACGCAAUUGCUAACGAAGCCGUGAACAAAGUAAAAGUAAUUUAUACCGGGUCAUUUGAAAAAAAGGCAAUCAUCUCCAUCGAAGAUGCAAUUGCCUCGAAAGAUGACAGCCGAAUAUCUACUCCGGUCGUUAUACCAGCUGAAAGUAGAGGAACUGACACUAAAUACGUGAUCAAGGGGGAUUUCGUCUGCGGCGGACAAUAUCACUAUACAAUGGAGACUCAGACUUGUGUCUGUUUGCCCGUCGAAGAUGGUAUAGACGUAUACACGUCGACACAAAAUAUUGACCUCAAUCAAAUUGCUAUUGCGACAUGCCUGGGUGUACCGCAAAACAGCAUCAACAUACGCGUAAAGCGAUUAGGCGGUGGCUACGGGGCUAAGAUAUCGCGUGCAGCCCAGGUAGCCUGCGCAUGUGCCCUGGCUUGCCACAAAUUGAACCGACCGGCCAGAUUCGUGAUGACACUCGAGAGUAACAUGAGCUCGAUUGGGAAACGAUCUCCGUCGUAUCACGAGUACGAGGUCGGCGUUGACAUUAACGGGAAGAUACAGUAUCUAAACGUAAAACACUGGUCCAAUUCCGGUGCAAUUUUCAACGAAUCUUCAAGUCCCGUAAUAGCUUAUCACUGUGGUAACUGUUACGACACAAGUACAUGGACCCGCGAGGCAUAUGAGGUCAGAACCGACCUACCUACAAACACCUACUGCCGAGCGCCGGCCUCCACGGAGGGUAUAGCCCUGGCUGAGAAUGUAAUGGAACAUGUUGCUAGGGAGCUUGGUAAAGACCCCAUGGAUAUUCGAAGUGUAAACAUGAACCCGGCCGACAAUUGCAUUAUGAACGAACUUAUCGAGGACUUGAAAGUAACUGCCGACUAUAACAUGAGAAGGAAGGCCGUGGAGAGUUUCAAUCGUGAGAAUCGAUGGAAGAAAAAAGGUAUUGCUAUGGUACCUAUGAAGUACCCGUUCACAUUCUACGGACAAUUUAAUGUCCUGGUGUCUGUUUAUGCUCGUGAUGGAACAGUAGCAAUUACUCACGGGGGUAUCGAAUGUGGUCAAGGAAUCAAUACAAAGGUUGCUCAAACGGCUGCCUAUAUUCUUGGCAUUGAUUUGGAGAUGAUUUCGAUAAAGCCAACCACCAAUCUGACAUCACCUAAUAAUACUGUGACUGGAGGCAGCUGGACCAGCGAUUCCUGUGCAUACGUCAGUACUUUUGUCUUGUCAACACACCUACAACCCAUACUCUUACACAGACGCGCGCACACACGCACAGAGCCACAGAUACCUCUUUAUCGAUGGCUACGAUGAUGGCGUGCAAAGAGCUAAUCAAGAGGUUGGAACCAAUUAAAACAGAAUUGCAGGAACCAACGUGGAAAGAUCUGGUGUUCGCGGCUCAUCAGAAGGACGUUGAUUUAUGUGCACGGUACAUGUUCGCCGCAACGAAGGA